RNAcentral lists this ribosomal RNA (497 nucleotides) under uncultured bacterium. Its description in RNAcentral is "partial 16S ribosomal RNA". It matches the Rfam family "Bacterial small subunit ribosomal RNA", at positions 28 to 507 of the family's 1533-position model. The record is from RNAcentral.
GAUGAACGCUGGCGGCGUGCCUAAUACAUGCAAGUCGAGCGAACGGACGAGGAGCUUGCUUCUCUGAUGUUAGCGGCGGACGGGUGAGUAACACGUGGAUAACCUACCUAUAAGACUGGGAUAACUUCGGGAAACCGGAGCUAAUACCGGAUAAUAUUUUGAACCGCAUGGUUCAAAAGUAAAAGACGGUCUUGCUGUCACUUAUAGAUGGAUCCGCGCUGCAUUAGCUAGUUGGUAAGGUAACGGCUUACCAAGGCAACGAUGCAUAGCCGACCUGAGAGGGUGAUCGGCCACACUGGAACUGAGACACGGUCCAGACUCCUACGGGAGGCAGCAGUAGGGAAUCUUCCGCAAUGGGCGAAAGCCUGACGGAGCAACGCCGCGUGAGUGAUGAAGGUCUUCGGAUCGUAAAACUCUGUUAUUAGGGAAGAACAUAUGUGUAAGUAACUGUGCACAUCUUGACGGUACCUAAUCAGAAAGCCACGGCUAACUACGUG